GCCGUGUUAGUUCAGUUGUUAGAGCAUUGGACUUUUAAUCCAAUGGUUGUGGGUUCAAAUAUCACAUGAGGUG
This 73-nucleotide transfer RNA is filed under the name Hofstenia miamia. RNAcentral describes it as "tRNA-Lys for anticodon UUU". It matches the Rfam family "tRNA". Rfam says of the family: Transfer RNA (tRNA) molecules are approximately 80 nucleotides in length. Their secondary structure includes four short double-helical elements and three loops (D, anti-codon, and T loops). The record is from RNAcentral. Lineage: Eukaryota; Metazoa; Xenacoelomorpha; Acoela; Hofsteniidae.